GACGAACGCUGGCGGCGUGCCUAAUACAUGCAAGUAGAACGCUGAAGGAGGAGCUUGCUCUUCUGGAUGAGUUGCGAACGGGUGAGUAACGCGUAGGUAACCUGCCUGGUAGCGGGGGAUAACUAUUGGAAACGAUAGCUAAUACCGCAUAACAGUAGAUGUUGCAUGACAUUUACUUAAAAGGUGCAAUUGCAUCACUACCAGAUGGACCUGCGUUGUAUUAGCUAGUUGGUGGGGUAACGGCUCACCAAGGCGACGAUACAUAGCCGACCUGAGAGGGUGAUCGGCCACACUGGGACUGAGACACGGCCCAGACUCAUACGGGAGGCAGCAGUAGGGAAUCUUCGGCAAUGGACGGAAGUCUGACCGAGCAACGCCGCGUGAGUGAAGAAGGUUUUCGGAUCGUAAAGCUCUGUUGUAAGAGAAGAACGAGUGUGAGAGUGGAAAGUUCACACUGUGACGGUAUCUUACCAGAAAGGGACGGCUAACUACGUG
RNAcentral lists this ribosomal RNA (495 nucleotides) under uncultured bacterium. Its description in RNAcentral is "partial 16S ribosomal RNA". It matches the Rfam family "Bacterial small subunit ribosomal RNA", at positions 28 to 507 of the family's 1533-position model. The record is from RNAcentral.